This 648-nucleotide long non-coding RNA is filed under the name Trifolium pratense (red clover). RNAcentral describes it as "long non-coding RNA (TPRA_LNC000797)". The record is from RNAcentral. Lineage: Eukaryota; Viridiplantae; Streptophyta; Magnoliopsida; Fabales; Fabaceae.
UUACACAAUAGCACAAUUCUUUUGGUGAUUAAUAUAAACAAGAUCAAGUGACUAACAGAAACACAUCAUGGCAAACUGAUGAGGCCCAAGUUUCUGGUUUUGUUAAAUCAAUGAAGCAGUUUAUAUGAAUCUGAAACUACGUGCCUGUACUCGGAACAAAUUGUUUCAAAUAUUGGUCAGAUGUGUGCCUAUACUUGGAACAAAUUGAUUCAAAUAUUGGUCAGAUACUCAGAUGUACUUUAUUUCACCUCUAUAUACAGCUCUGCAAGUUGGAAGAGAGGUCUUAACAUUUAAUGCAGCAAGCAUUAUUUUUGUAGUUGGGAUUGCUAGAAAUGUAGGAUCCUGAACUUGGGGUGGGAAAUGUCCCAAACCCAAAAUGAAAUUCAUCUUUGUAAUGUUCUUUGGUCUAUAUUAUUUUAUUAAAUUGGAGUUGGAACUGCUUUCAUAUUUCAAGCUUUGUUUAAACUUUAAUAGAAAUAGAAAUACAUCACUAGAUAUUUGGAAGUACCCUUAUAAAUGGAUCAAGUGCACGUUAACACAUACUAGUACACUAACAUAUUACCAUUAGUUAUUUCAAGUUUUUGUAUAGAAAAUAGAAGAUGCACUGGCAGUGUAAAGUAAUGUUACACUAUCAACUAAUGAAUAUUU